AUUUCGGUAGGUGAGGCUACCAUAGGGAUACGGAUUGCUGCCGCGAAAUAGUGGAGACACUAUUAGAAGGUUAGCAGUUUAUGUCGAAACCAAGGCAUAGACUAAUGCAAUUACAUCGCCCUAUGAAGCUAAAACUUGAACGAUG
RNAcentral lists this small RNA (145 nucleotides) under uncultured Niameybacter sp. Its description in RNAcentral is "M-box riboswitch (ykoK leader)". It matches the Rfam family "M-box riboswitch aptamer (ykoK leader)", at positions 11 to 159 of the family's 169-position model. From Rfam's summary of the family: M-box riboswitch, also know as ykoK leader is described as a metaloregulatory RNA that sense divalent metals and function as a genetic control element of genes related to divalent metal transport in bacteria. It was first reported upstream of the B.subtilis ykoK gene and genes with related functions in other bacteria. Lineage: Bacteria; Bacillati; Bacillota; Clostridia; Lachnospirales; Lachnospiraceae. The record is from RNAcentral.